This 800-nucleotide ribosomal RNA is filed under the name uncultured bacterium. RNAcentral describes it as "bacterial SSU rRNA". It matches the Rfam family "Bacterial small subunit ribosomal RNA", at positions 200 to 1013 of the family's 1533-position model. The record is from RNAcentral.
UGGAAAGUUCCGGCGGAGAAGGAUGGGCUCGCGGCCUAUCAGCUUGUUGGCGGGGUAACGGCCCACCAAGGCGACGACGGGUAGCCGGCCUGAGAGGGUGACCGGCCACACUGGGACUGAGACACGGCCCAGACUCCUACGGGAGGCAGCAGUGGGGAAUAUUGGACAAUGGGCGAAAGCCUGAUCCAGCAACGCCGCGUGAGGGUAGAAGGCCUUCGGGUUGUAAACCUCUUUCAGCAGGGACGAAGCGCAAGUGACGGUACCUGCAAAAGAAGGACCGGCCAACUACGUGCCAGCAGCCGCGGUAAUACGUAGGGUCCGAGCGUUGUCCGGAAUUAUUGGGCGUAAAGGGCUCGUAGGCGGUUUGUCGCGUCGGGAGUGAAAACUCAGGGCUUAACCCUGAGCGUGCUUCCGAUACGGGCAGACUAGAGGUAUGCAGGGGAGAACGGAAUUCCUGGUGUAGCGGUGGAAUGCGCAGAUAUCAGGAGGAACACCGGUGGCGAAGGCGGUUCUCUGGGCAUUACCUGACGCUGAGGAGCGAAAGCAUGGGGAGCGAACAGGAUUAGAUACCCUGGUAGUCCAUGCCGUAAACGUUGGGCGCUAGGUGUGGGGACCUUCCACGGUUUCCGUGCCGCAGCUAACGCAUUAAGCGCCCCGCCUGGGUAGUACGGCCGCAAGGCUAAAACUCAAAGGAAUUGACGGGGGCCCGCACAAGCGGCGGAGCAUGCUGAUUAAUUCGAUGCAACGCGAAGAACCUUACCUGGGUUUGACAUAUACCGGAAAGCUGCAGAGAUGUAGCC